This 77-nucleotide transfer RNA is filed under the name Halobacteriovoraceae bacterium. RNAcentral's name for it is "tRNA-Pro". It matches the Rfam family "tRNA". From Rfam's summary of the family: Transfer RNA (tRNA) molecules are approximately 80 nucleotides in length. Their secondary structure includes four short double-helical elements and three loops (D, anti-codon, and T loops). RNAcentral also lists the same sequence under 1 other name. Lineage: Bacteria; Pseudomonadati; Bdellovibrionota; Bacteriovoracia; Bacteriovoracales; Halobacteriovoraceae. The record is from RNAcentral.
CGGAGCGUAGCGCAGCUUGGUAGCGCAUCUGCUUUGGGAGCAGGGGGUCGGAGGUUCGAAUCCUCUCGCUCCGACCA